Molecule: small nuclear RNA, 20 nt
Filed under: Arabidopsis thaliana (thale cress)
Lineage: Eukaryota; Viridiplantae; Streptophyta; Magnoliopsida; Brassicales; Brassicaceae
Description: snRNA_02241
Source: RNAcentral
CCCUACUGAUGCCCGCGUCG